Molecule: ribosomal RNA, 354 nt
Filed under: uncultured Syntrophus sp.
Lineage: Bacteria; Pseudomonadati; Thermodesulfobacteriota; Syntrophia; Syntrophales; Syntrophaceae
Description: bacterial SSU rRNA
Rfam family: Bacterial small subunit ribosomal RNA
Source: RNAcentral
GCCAGGAGACAGGUGCUGCAUGGCUGUCGUCAGCUCGUGUCGUGAGAUGUUGGGUUAAGUCCCGCAACGAGCGCAACCCUUGUCUUUAAUUGCCAUCAUUCAGUUGGGCACUUUAAAGAGACUGCCGGUGUUAAACCGGAGGAAGGUGGGGAUGACGUCAAGUCCUCAUGGCCUUUAUGCCCAGGGCUACACACGUGCUACAAUGGGUGGUACAAAGAGAUGCAAUCUCGCAAGAGCAAGCAAACCUCAAAAGCCAUCCUCAGUUCGGAUUGGAGUCUGCAACUCGACUCCAUGAGGUCGGAAUCGCUAGUAAUCGCGGAUCAGCACGCCGCGGUGAAUACGUUCCCGGGCCUU